AGCCUAGUGGCUAAGAGCAAAGGCUCUGGGAGCAGACUGCCUGGGUUCAAAUCCCAGCUCUGCUA
Non-coding RNA from Myotis lucifugus (little brown bat), 65 nucleotides. The record is from Rfam. Lineage: Eukaryota; Metazoa; Chordata; Mammalia; Chiroptera; Vespertilionidae.